GCAGACUAAUACAGACCUCCAGUAUAGUGCUGGCCUAUACCCUUUCUCAGCACUGUUCUAAAAGAAUAUAUACUCAGAAUUUUAAUGAACAUUCCCCAGGUCUGCUACUUCUCCAUAUUUCUGACAGGUGGGAUAUAAAGAUGGCUGGGGUUACAUGGUAGACAACAGAGUGUGUUUUCUAGCAAUGAGUUGGUAAGAAACCCAGCUCAUCAAGCACACACUAAAGUCAUCAUUAUAGACUUCUUUAAUUAUCAGACCCAUGGUUUCUUUUAAAUCAGGAAGGUUUUUUUUUUUUCUUGAGUAUUUAUUUUUUUUACUUUUCCUGUGAGCAAAUCUCUUGAUCACCUGGAUGAAUUUAUUGUUCAUGCCUCUGUUCAAAAAACUUUGACAUUCACCAUUGCUUUCAGAAUAGCUGGAAGACUUGCCAAUUCAUAGUUGCAAAGACCUACAAUGAUGCCUUAGCGACUACUCCUCCUCAUGCGAACUUCCAAUCAGGUCAAAAAGUGGUGCAUUAGUGUCCUACUGACCGGCCUUGUUCUUCCACCUCCACACAUUUUUGCAUCUCAUUGCCUCUGCCUCAUGUGCCCUGUUAGCACAGCCGUCCAGAUCCAAUCUGAAGGACACUUGCUACUUUUACCUCCUACCUGCUCAGAGAAGGCUUUGGUAACCAUGCCAGGCAAUGACUCAGUACAGGAAGCUUUAUUCUUGUUGUGUCACGCUACAUUCACAGGGUAAAUGUGAAUAAAUACUUGUUGAUCUAAAUGUAUUUCUCUAUAGAAAGAGCCAUUGAAUCUCUAAGGCACUUCUUGCCUGUAUCAGUCAUUUGGAAAUGAAUCACGAACCUUCUUAGGCCUGUCCAUAUGUAUUUUUGUGGCCUGUGAUUUACAUUUUCUAUUGUUAUUGCACUUUCUACCUCCUGAGUGAACUAAACUGAAAGUUUCUUGAGGACUACCUCUCAUGGAUGAGAUUUGGAGCCAGGAAAGAGCACGGGUUCCCACCUGGACUUCCCCACUUGCUAAAAUUACACAGUUGGUCACAUUGGACCCAAAGGAGACAGUCUGAAAAUUUAUUGAAAGUGAUGGAAUUUUCCAGUUAUGAAGCAGAAUCUUAAUAAUUCAGAGACAUCUCACUGCAGUAAAUGUCCCUGCAAAAGCUAAAUCAAGAAAUGGGAAAUCUUGUUGGAGUUUGCUGAACGCCUUCUGAAGAUUCCUGAAUUCAUAAACCAAGGACAUGGCGACAGAGCGCACUGGUCACUCUCCUCACAUCCAUCCCUCCUUACUUUUCCCAGCCAAUGGAACCUUAGUUUGUUAGAGGCGGCUGCUGAGACCUCUCGCUCUCUAGGAGAGGAGGUCCCUGCCCCAGGGUCCGGGAUGAAUCAUGAUUGGUCUAAACCGCCUUAGCCAUCUUGUUCAACUUUGUCUGGGAGUGACCGUGUGAAAAGUGUUGGCCAAUGAGAUAGAAAUGGAAGUUUGGGGGUGAGGCUGCACGGAAAGCUCUUGCCCUUGUCAGCUUUUCUGCUUGGGAUGAAGGUAUGGUCCCUGGAAGCACAGCAGACAUUGGUGACCAUGAGAUGACAAACAUCAGGAUGAAAGUCGAUUUUCUAAGGAUGGUAGGGCUGGAUAGUACAUCACUGACAGCAUCGCUGAAUUCAUGGAAUAGCUGUAUGCCAGUGCUGCUUUCCUUUGGGUUUCUUGUGAUAUGACACAAAGUUUUAUUUAUUUACACUACUAUUUGUAGGAGUUUCUGUUACUUACAGCCUCUAGGAUAUUAAAUGGAACCAUAAGAUA
This is a non-coding RNA of Microcebus murinus (gray mouse lemur), 1787 nucleotides long. The record is from RefSeq and is a predicted model, not a curated record. Lineage: Eukaryota; Metazoa; Chordata; Mammalia; Primates; Cheirogaleidae.